CCUACGGGAGGCAGCAGUGGGGAAUUUUGGGCAAUGGAGGAAACUCUGACCCAGCAACGCCGCGUGAAUGAUGAAGGUCUUCGGAUUGUAAAGUUCUUUUCUAAGGGAAGAAGAAAGUGACGGUAGCUUAGGAAUAAGUCACGGCUAACUACGUGCGUGCAGCCGGCGUAAUUCGUAGGUGGCGAGCGUUAUUCGGUAAUAUUGGGUUGAAAGGGUGCGUAGGCGGGCGGAUAAGUUAGAGGUGAAAUACCGAGGGUCAAACUCAGUAGUGCCACAGAUACUGUUCGGCUAGAGAGUAGUUGCGGCAGGCGGAAUGUAUGGUGUAGCGGUAAAAUGCGUAGAGAUCAGAAAGAACACCAGUGGCGAAGGCAGCUUACCAGGCUACUUCUGACGUUGAGGCACGAAAGCGUGGGGAGCAAACAGGAUUAGAUACCCGUGUAGUC
Molecule: ribosomal RNA, 443 nt
Filed under: uncultured bacterium
Lineage: Bacteria
Description: partial 16S ribosomal RNA
Rfam family: Bacterial small subunit ribosomal RNA
Source: RNAcentral